Molecule: non-coding RNA, 1488 nt
Organism: Misgurnus anguillicaudatus (oriental weatherfish)
Lineage: Eukaryota; Metazoa; Chordata; Actinopteri; Cypriniformes; Cobitidae
Source: RefSeq, a predicted model, not a curated record
GUCGGCGAGAGGGACGGCGGUUACGCCCACUGAGUGGCAGCAUUUGAGUACAGCGUGACAUCGACGAAAACACGGUGAAAAUGCGUCGAAAUGGGAAAAGGCUGUUGUGCGAUAGACUGUACUAACAGAUUAACAAGAAUUCGGAGCUAUCGUUUUACAGACUGCCAAAAAACACCAAAAGGAGAUGUAAAUUGAUCGUUUAUUCUAACGUUUACAGACCACAUGUGGGUUGACAAGUUGCUGGGGUCACUAUCAGUUUACUUUUUACUUAAAAGUAUUUUUUCCAAGUAUUUGUAUUUUAUCCGUGUUUUUCUAUGCAAAACACACAUUCCAAAGCAUAUUAUCAUAAUUUUUACUCUAUUACAUUUCAUAAAUAAUACGUUUUUGUAUUACAUUUAAUAUUUAGGUACAUAACGUACUUUUACUCUCGUAAAAGUACACAAUAUAAAUAUAUUUAGGUAUAAAAUAAAUUAUAAUAUGCAAUAUUAAAGAAUACAGAGUAUGAUUUUAUGCUUUAGAAUGUAGUGAAGUAAUGUUUUUUCCUAAUACAAACACCCUAAUAAAGCACAGAUGCUUGGAAAAUGUAACUAAUGUAACUAAGUAUUGUCCACCUCUGCUAUCAAGUCCAAAUAAAUUCAAUUUAAGCAGAUAAUAAUCCGUUUUAUUGGCAUUUUCGCAGAACCCGCUAUGAAAAACAGCCAUUUUGUUAAACGUUUUGCCACUCAACUGGGCGAGCUCUCGCGGAAAAGUGACGUCAAUGCAUACCCUCUAUCACAGCGUAGAAGCUCAUUGCUGAGGUACAUAACAUAAAAUUACCUCAGGUAGCGCUGAUGCAGUUGCUGUGAAAUUCACUACGUAAUGCUUUUUUCCAUCCCACACUGACUUAGUUACGCCAAAAGCGCCACGUCUUUACCACAUCUCCAACUCCAAGAUCUAUACGGAUCAGGCGGUUGUUAGCGAUGCCCAAGACUUCAUCCUUACGGCUGCCUUUAAACCUGAGGAAAGAUGGGAAUGGAAAGCUAGAUCAUCUAACCAACUUUUAAAGCAGAAGUGGCAGCUGGGGAAUUGGAUCGCUGCAUAGAGAGAAACGUCUGGAUGUUCUUCACUUCACUUUGAUACGAGCUGUCCAACAGGGUGAGACCUUUAGAGGCCAGUUUACAAGCUGCCAUCCACUGAGAAUAUUGCUUCUCCUGAUGGGUGGGGAGAGCAUGUCUGUGCCGUUAUCCUCUCCCACCAUCUUAACCUCCAGAGAUUUCAGGGCAGAUUCCAGGUCAUCCAUGCCCUGACUGGAAGAGACCAUGUCCUGGGACAAGGAUAGUUUUCCUAUGUGGUACUGAAUGAAGGGCGAAGCAAGGAGAGCUCCUCUGGGUGCCGAAUAUCUGAAGGCGAUAAACAUCACGAGAGAACAAUAAAUAAAUUACUAUUAGUAAAAUGGUGGGUAAGUUAAAUCCAAGCUACAUCUGUGCAUAGUAGGAUUAACUUACUAAG